RNAcentral lists this ribosomal RNA (242 nucleotides) under uncultured bacterium. RNAcentral describes it as "partial 16S ribosomal RNA". It matches the Rfam family "Bacterial small subunit ribosomal RNA", at positions 524 to 765 of the family's 1533-position model. The record is from RNAcentral.
UACGUAGGGUGCAAGCGUUAAUCGGAAUUACUGGGCGUAAAGCGUGCGCAGGCGGCUUUGCAAGACAGAUGUGAAAUCCCCGGGCUCAACCUGGGAACUGCAUUUGUGACUGCAUGGCUAGAGUACGGUAGAGGGGGAUGGAAUUCCGCGUGUAGCAGUGAAAUGCGUAGAUAUGCGGAGGAACACCGAUGGCGAAGGCAAUCCCCUGGACCUGUACUGACGCUCAUGCACGAAAGCGUGGG